This 301-nucleotide ribosomal RNA is filed under the name uncultured bacterium. Its description in RNAcentral is "partial 16S ribosomal RNA". It matches the Rfam family "Bacterial small subunit ribosomal RNA", at positions 509 to 807 of the family's 1533-position model. The record is from RNAcentral.
CAGCAGCCGCGGGAAUACGUAGGUGGCAAGCGUUGUCCGGAAUUAUUGGGCGUAAAGGGCUCGCAGGCGGUUUCUUAAGUCUGAUGUGAAAGCCCCCGUCUCAACCGGGGAGGGUCAUUGGAAACUGGGAAACUUGAGUGCAGAAGAGGAGAGUGGAAUUCCACGUGUAGCGGUGAAAUGCGUAGAGAUGUGGAGGAACACCAGUGGCGAAGGCGACUCUCUGGUCUGUAACUGACGCUGAGGAGCGAAAGCGUGGGGAGCGAACAGGAUUAGAUACCCCUGUAGUCCCUGUCUCUUAUAC